Molecule: transfer RNA, 71 nt
Filed under: Ovis aries (sheep)
Lineage: Eukaryota; Metazoa; Chordata; Mammalia; Artiodactyla; Bovidae
Rfam family: tRNA
About the family: Transfer RNA (tRNA) molecules are approximately 80 nucleotides in length.
Source: Rfam by way of RNAcentral
UCCCUGGUGGCUUAGAUGGUAAAGCAUCUGCCUACAAUGCAGGAAACCCGGGUUCAGUCAUGGGUUGGGAA